This 253-nucleotide ribosomal RNA is filed under the name uncultured bacterium. RNAcentral describes it as "partial 16S ribosomal RNA". It matches the Rfam family "Bacterial small subunit ribosomal RNA", at positions 524 to 776 of the family's 1533-position model. The record is from RNAcentral.
UACGUAGGUGGCAAGCGUUAUCCGGAAUUACUGGGCGUAAAGGGCGCGUAGGCGGCCUGCUAAGUCGGACGUGAAAUCCCUCGGCUCAACCGAGGAACUGCGUCCGAUACUGGUGGGCUUGAAUCCGGGAGAGGGAUGUGGAAUUCCAGGUGUAGCGGUGAAAUGCGUAGAUAUCUGGAGGAACACCGGUGGCGAAGGCGGCAUCCUGGACCGGUAUUGACGCUGAGGCGCGAAAGCGUGGGUAGCAAACAGG